UUCCUGGAUUGUGUGAUGCACCCAUACCAGUGUUCCAGUCCUUUCCACGGCUCCAUCCCACGCCACCCCCUUCCUCCCUCCCUCACUCCUGUCACUUUUCCUUUCACCUGUCCGCACCUGCAGGCAGCACGCGGAGUUCUUAAGGGAGCGAGGCACUCACUGGCAGGCACGGGCACCACCUCACCUGUCGCGGCGCAGGAAAUAGCAAGGCCAGCGCCAGAAUCCAGCCCCGUCAGUAGCGCCGCCAUGGAGGAGAGGACGCCACAGCAGCUGCUACAGGAACACUUGGAGGAGUUGGCGAAGGUGGAGCAGCCGCCCUCAGUGACGCUGGAUGAAGUGGUUGCCCUCAGUGAUCAGUUCCCCGUGCGCUUCCCCACCCAGACAGCCCGCCUUAAGACUCUCCUGAAGGGCGGCGUGCACGAUGAAGCCACGCUGGAGGAGCACGUGAACUCUGCCUACCCUGUGGUGCACGAACGAGUCUUGCCGCUCCUGGCCGCCUUCCUUCACUUCAAGAGGCACCACGGCAGGAAGAAGGAAAGGGAGGUGUACGGCACGCUGGGGCUGCUGGAUCUGGUGGAUCGCCUCCUGAAGAAGCGGCCCAUCGUGUUCUACAACCCGAGUGACGUGUACGUCCUGCGUGACGGCUUUGAAGGGUGUGACGGCUUCCAGGACAUCGGCCAUUCCAAGGAGCACGGCAGACUCAUCCUGAGGGACUACUUGAGCUAUGAUGAAAUGAAGCUGUCGGCGCUCGUGGCGGUGUCCUCACACUCUGUCUUCAUUAACGACGGCGGCCGCCACAACCGAGGCCUGCCCGCCGCCUCCGACAACUUCGUGCCGAGGGGCGUCAUCGUGGGACAGGUGGGCGCCAGGUUUGAGCGGGAGGGAGUAAUGGAGUGGCAGGACUGUGUGGUGACGCCGCACCAAAACACUCCCUAUCGCGGCUACGGCAAGGAGCCUCCCUCGCAGCCCCGCCUGGCCAGGCUGUGGGCUCACCUGUGGGGCGAGCCCUUCCUGCCCUCGUGGGAGGAGGCCGCCAAGUGUUCCGAGGACGAGUUCGUGCCACACUCCUCAGAACUGCUGUUCAACGUGCGGGUGUACAAGGCGCGCAUCCAGCUGCCGGCGGAGACGCUGCUGGCGGAGGCUGGUGCACGGGCUGCUAGUGUAGGCCUGAAGGCCUACGUGCGUGUAGUGGGCCUAGGCCUUGGGGUGUGGAGCUUCACUCCCCGCCAGAAGCAGCUGUUUGUGGACGCGUGGGCCGACGCGCUGGCGGCCGCAGACACGUCUUAUAUUAGCCACGUGGACUUCACCUGGAUCUCAGACGUGACGCGGUGCGGCGAGGCGGGGGACGGGGAGGAGUUCCCGGGUAAGGGCGUCGUCAUUCGCUUCACCAAGAGUGGUCUGCACUCGGCGCCGUUGCCUGACGGCACUCUCUUAGUGACCAGCUUCGCCUGGGACUCCAACUCACUUCCCGGCAAUGAGUACUGGCGGGGCAUGCUGUCAGCCUCCGGGGACCCCGCCGCCGCCUGCUCCUCCACCGUGGCGGAGCUGCACAACUCCCUCAUCAACCCACGCGUCACGGCCACCAACCUGCACGUGGCGUCGCCGGGGCGUGUGAGCACGUGGCUGCCUACGCGCGCCGCAGACUACAGGCCGAUGCCGCUCCGCAGUGAAUGGUUGUCUUGCAGGUGUGGAUGCUCUUCCUCGCAGAACACGUCAACACCUGGACGCUGGGGAGGCGAGUGAACCCUGCCUGUGAUCUGCACCGGCCGCGCCCGUGCACUCACCUCGGAACCUGCAUUGUUCGUGCGUUGUGUUGGAGUGGUGCGGCCUGUAUGUGACUGUGUGACACGUCCGUAUUGCCUUAGAGAGAGAGAGAGAGAGAGAGAGAAAGAGAGAGAGAGAGAGAGAAUUAAAACAAGAAAAAGGGGAAAAAAAGAGUCACUCAUUUUCUGCUCCCAAAAAUGUUCAUGAGAAAAGAGUGAAGUAAGUGAGUAACUAGAGGUAACUAGAAUGAAUAUGGAAACCCGUCACGGUACUGAAGGAGUUAAAAUUGAAAAUGUCUGAAUUAAACAUAGAACAUACGAAAUGGAUCUUAAAUUGUUGCUUUGUACAGCGGAUGUCGGUCGUGUGAUAAGACAAAGGGCCACAUCUCCAGCCAGUGAGGCGAGGGGGCGUCUGUGGUGUAAUGGACGUAUUAAUAUCAUGCAUAAAUUCGUAAUGCUUUAUUCUCUAAGCUAAUUUCUUACUCAACUCUCAAUAGUCUUCCUGUAAUAACUAUCUCAUAGCAACACUUAAAAAUUUCUUUCCUAAAAUAUUUUCUUAAAGUUUGUUCUUGCUCCUCGUUAUUUCCAAGUACCCUUAACUCCCUAAGAACCAUGACGCGUUUCCUUAUUCAUUCUGUUUAAUACUUGGUGAUUUUAUACAACUUUAUAAACUUAUUUGGGCGAUUAAAAUAGUAAAGACUGUGGUCAUUAAUCUUCUGAUCUCCAUAGACCCUAGUGUCAAUAAAAUGGCCUAAUCGUACACAAUUCUCAAGGUAAAAAUGUGUCCCAGUACUGAAGGAAUUAAAAAGAAAACAAAAAUCUCCACUCAGAGAAGCUUCACGCAGCCAGGUGACUGUAACUGAUCUAAGGUAUUUUGAUAUUAUUGGUGAUAGUUGGACAAUGAUUCUAUAUGGUUAAUAAAGAAAAAAUAGCCUUGA
Molecule: RNA transcript, 2701 nt
Organism: Portunus trituberculatus (swimming crab)
Lineage: Eukaryota; Metazoa; Arthropoda; Malacostraca; Decapoda; Portunidae
Exons: 5
Source: RefSeq, a predicted model, not a curated record